This 253-nucleotide ribosomal RNA is filed under the name uncultured bacterium. RNAcentral describes it as "partial 16S ribosomal RNA". It matches the Rfam family "Bacterial small subunit ribosomal RNA", at positions 524 to 776 of the family's 1533-position model. The record is from RNAcentral.
GACGAAGGAUGCAAGCGUUAUCCGGAUUCAUUGGGUUUAAAGGGAGCGUAGGCGGCCUUGUAAGUCAGUGGUGAAAUCUUCCCGCUUAACGGGAAAACUGCCAUUGAUACUGCUUGGCUUGAGUACAGAUGCUGUGGGCGGAAUAUGACAUGUAGUGGUGAAAUACAUAGAGAUGUCAUAGAACACCGAUUGCGAAGGCAGCUCACAAAACUGUAACUGACGCUGAGGCUCGAAAGUGUGGGGAUCAAACAGG